UGGGGAAUUUUGCACAAUGGGGGAAACCCUGAUGCAGCGACGCCGCGUGAUUUAGAAGGCCUUCGGGUUGUAAAAAUCUUUUCUAUGGGAAGAAACUGACAGUACCAUAGGACUAAGGACCGGCUAAUUUCGUUCCAGCAGCCGCGGUAAUACGUAAGGUCCGAGCGUUGUCCGGAAUCAUUGGGCGUAAAGGGUACGUAGGCGGGUAAGCAAGUUAGAAGUGAAAGCCUAUAGCUCAACUAUAGUAAGCAUUUAAAACUGCACAUCUUGAGGGAUGGAAGGGGAAGUGGAAUUCCUAGUGUAGCGGUGAAAUGCGCAGAUAUUAGGAGGAAUACCGGUGGCGAAGGCGGCUUUCUGGACAUAUCCUGACGCUGAGGUACGAAAGCGUGGGGAGCAAACAGG
Molecule: ribosomal RNA, 402 nt
Filed under: bacterium
Lineage: Bacteria
Description: partial 16S ribosomal RNA
Rfam family: Bacterial small subunit ribosomal RNA
Source: RNAcentral